This 85-nucleotide transfer RNA is filed under the name Caulobacter sp. Its description in RNAcentral is "tRNA-Leu". It matches the Rfam family "tRNA". Rfam says of the family: Transfer RNA (tRNA) molecules are approximately 80 nucleotides in length. The record is from RNAcentral. Lineage: Bacteria; Pseudomonadati; Pseudomonadota; Alphaproteobacteria; Caulobacterales; Caulobacteraceae. RNAcentral also lists the same sequence under 3 other names.
GCGGAUGUGGCGAAACUGGUAGACGCACUGGAUUUAGGUUCCAGCGCCGCAAGGCGUGGAGGUUCGAGUCCUCUCAUCCGCACCA